CUUUCCUCCUUUAACUUUGGAUGUCAGGUGGUAUUUUGUCUCAGCAGCAAGAAAAGAAACUAAGGCAACAGUCACUCCAUCCUCUUGGAAAAAAUAAGAAGAAAAAGUGCCUUCUGUCGGGAAACUGGCUGGACCCUCUCCAGGGAGAUAGCAGUUCUGACAGAUCCCUUCUGUGACCUGCGGUGGCAUUUCUGUCUUCUCCGGUCUGGCUCAGCUGUUUGCAGGGAAGACCUCCUGCCAGCUGAAUCAGCCACCCAGUUGCUGAGCUGGUCCUGACUCAGGUCAUUUGCUCAUCCAAUGGUCCUCAUCACUGCUGCCAGGUGCUGGGUACAUAGCCAUGAAAGGAGUGAGGCCCUUGGCCUGAAGGAGCUCACAAUCUGGCAAGAGCUGGACAUGGAAGCAGAUCACAGCUAUGCUUUGUAAUAACUCUGGGGUGGAUGAACGGACAAGGGCCCUGUGGCUGCAAAGGCCAGCUGUCCACCAAAUGGCAUGCUCCCCUUUCAACAGGAUGGAACUGGCAGGCACAGGGACUACAUUUCCCAGCCCUCCUUGCACCCAGGAGCCACCCUGUGACUGCCUAGUCCUCACCAUGGAAUGCGAGUAGGGUGUGCCACUUCUGGCCUGGGAUUUUAAGAAAUAGGUGUGCCUCUUGCGGUCCCUCUUCCUUUUUCCAUCACGUGGUUUCAUCAUCUGAUACCCUAGGGAUUAUGGAGCCAAAAAAUGCAGCCCUAAAUUUCUACUUGAGGGAAAGCUGCUUGCUGACCAAGAAACCUACACUAGACCAUCCUGGAAUGAGAAACAAGCUUCUAUUGGGUUAAGCCACAGAAAUUGAGGACUUUGUCAUCUGGGAUUGUCCUUUUGGAAACAGAUGUCUAAUCCCAAUGGUGGCUUCAGGGAAAGAUUCCAGGAAGAAGUGACACUUGGGGCUGAAGGGCUAGCUGGGUUUAGCAGCUGGCCAAGCAAUAUGUCAGGAUGCUGUUGUUGAGGGGAGGGGUGAGAAGCAGGGAGGAUAAUUUAGGCAGAGAGAACAGAACACAUGAAGUACAGAGUGUGUGUGUGCGCGUGUGUGCGUGUGUGUGUAGGAGUGGUGGAUGUGUGUGUGUGAGUAAAUGCACAUCUGUGUGGUGUGGGUGAUAAUAGCACCUUAGCCUUAUUGGAAUAUAAAGUGUGGGGGAAGAGAACAGUAAAUAUGCUGCAGGGAUCUGCAGGGAGCCAUGUAGGAGUUUCUGUGCCAAGGCGUUUUAAAAUGUAGACACUGGGAGGAUUUUAACAGUAUGGCUUAAAAUAAGCAGUCUGAUCCACUUUGUGAGCUAUAAUGAUCACUUUGGUGGCAGUGUGAUGAAUGGAUUAGAGAAGGUGAGGCUAGGGAUAGGGAGACCGGAGCGCAGUUAGUAGGUGAGCAGGUGCAGCAGUCUGGGCCAGGGGAUGGUGGUGUCAUGGCUGGGCACUGGUAGAAGAAAGAGGCAAGAAGAUGAGGUGGCUGACCGGGAUUGUGGUGGGGGAGAGGGAAGCAGUGAAGAUAAUGUCUGGGUUUGUAACCCCAUGAUUAAUUUUUACUUGUACUAUAAGUGGGUAGGAAGGGAAAUUAAAUUUUCUGUGAUAAGAUAGCCCUCAUUUUUGUUUGUUCUGCUAUUAAAGUUAACCCUAUGUGGCACUUCCUAAAUGCCAGGUGCUUUUCAGAGCCCUUUACAUAUAAUUAACUCAUUAAUAUUAGUAGUACUCCCAUGAGGUAUAAUGACUUGUUCCUUUUUUUUUUGGCAAGGAGUUACUGGGGAUUGAACCCGUAGCUCCGCAGUGAGCCAUAUCCUUAGCCCUUUUAUUCUGAGACAGAGUCUUGCUAAAUCACUCAGCCUAGACUCACACUCACAGUCCCCCUAACUCAGCCUCCCAGAGUGCUGGGAAUACAGGUGUAUGCCACCACUUCUGGCAAUUUGCCCCAUUUUGCAGAUUGAGAUACAAAGGUGAAUAAGUUUACCAUCUAGUAAGUGGAAGAUUCAGGAUUUGCGCCAGGAGUCUGGUUUUGGACUAUGCUUUUAGCUGCCAGUGCUCUGUUUCUUGUUUUACCUGUAGUACAGGUUGCCAAUCAGAGUCCUUCCCUGGACCCAACGGCACACUUCUUGGAUACUGAACAUGGUUAUUUAGUGAUCCUGGUCUGGACACAGAUCUGGCCUCCUGAUUUUCCCAUUGGAGAAUAUGUUCUCUUGGCAGGCUGCAGCCCCACUUUCAGAAUCAGCCUAUUUCAGCUCCCUUCAUCACCCCUUCUGGUUUCAGUGACUCAAUGUGAUCUGUAACUGGAUGCUCACGGUUCUGAUACCUGAAUGACUCUACUCACAGUGACUCCCUCCAGAGCCUCCAAACACUAUAGCAUUUGCCCAAGGCCACACAGGCCAUUAGUGGUUAGGCCUGGAUUCAAACUCAGGACUGUCUGGCUCCACAACACAUCCUUUUGCCUCUCCAUGGCCUCCCCUAGAGGUCUACACUCAGUCCUUCGGACUCCAAGGUCAAGCCCAGAGCAAUUCCUCACUCUUCCUCACAACAUAGAAUAAGCCCAGGAAUCCAUGCUGACCUCCAGCCCAGGCUGCAUCCUGUGGGGCUGCUCCAUUGUCAGGCAUGAAGUAGAAGGGAGCAGAGCCCAGGCCAGGUGAGGCCUGCUGGCUGAGCUGCACUCACGGACUUGGCUAAUUUGUUACUAAUUCCUUAGGAGCACAGAACAACCCUAACAAGAUAGAAAAAUCAAUGGCCAAGAGAAAGACAAAGCAAAGUGCUGAGCAGAAAGUGAGGGAGGAAAGUGAUUUUUAAAAGACCUUGACAAACUCUUUGGUGCACAGCCUGUAAAGUGGGGGAUAAAUGUCUGUCUUCCAUUGAUUCAUAUUGUUUUCCAAGUAGGAGACAGGAGAGAGGUAAUGGGCUUGGUUGAGGGGCUGGUUGGCCUUGCAAUGUCGAGAUAAUUAUUGUUCAGUUAGAGGGUUGGUGAUUUUCUACUUUUCAGAGGCACAGAGAGCAAUCAGGGGCUGAAAUGUGUUUCCAAAUGAUGGAAGUGAGCAAUAAAGAUCAAUUAGCAGUGAUAGCAUUGGCUGGAAAAAACCGAGUGGUUCAGACAUAGCUUUUCUUUCUAUCUUUGUGCCCAGCAACGAGGAGAAAGAUGAGCAGGACGGGAGGGGAGCCUUGUGAAGGGUGGGAUGGGGCACGAGAUCCCUGGGUUUGUGGUCUGCUGGUGUGAGGGCCACAGCAGGCCCAAAUCUAGUUGCCAAGUUCAAUGCCAAGACACAUGGCAGCUAUUCCUGAGAGUGCCACAGCCACCAGGAGGAAGGGGCUGGGUGGCACCACUACCCGGAAAUUCCUGCAAAAGACUUCACAGCAGUUGCCAGGGGCUGGGAGGCUGGAAGGGUUGCAGCAGUUUAUAGAACUCCAAGUCCUCACAGUGGCCUCUCAGGGUCUUGCCAUCUGCCUGGCUAUUCCUUGUCACCUCUCUGGGCUUGUCUUCUGUUCCUUCAGUUUCUACAACUUCAAUAAGCGUCCUCAGUGCAGCCCACUCUAAUGACCCUCUAAAGUGAAAACAAACCCCUGCUUUACUUGCUUUUUAUCGUACCACCUAGUUCUUUCUAAAAAAAAAAAAAAAAAAAAAAAUAUAUAUAUAUAUAUAUAUAUAUAUAAUGUAUUUAGUGUAUGUAGUGCCUGUGUUCCCUCCUCUAGAAGGCAAGCUCUCUGAGGCAAGGGUCUUGCCCACAUUCUGGGAAAGUGUGGCCCGUGUUGGCUGAAUGAAUGAAUGAGGUGGGACCAGUCAUCAGAGCCAAACAUUCUAAGCUGCUUCUCUUCUUCACAGCUGGGGGAGGAGAUCCAGAGCCAGGGCAAGAGUUGCCCAGGAAGUGCCUGAGCUGGGACUAGCUGCAGUGUCUGAACUAUAAUGUUCUUUGUCUUCUCGGAAACUGGGUGGAGGAUGGAGCGAAUUUUCAUGGGGGUUCUGCUGCAUGCGCAGGGUGUGUCUGGAGCUCCUCAUUCCACCUCUUCAUUCCAUCCCUACCCGUGCACCAGCCAGGACCUAUGGGACCCUUUCUCCUGCUCCCCUUUCUUGGACUAAUUCCUUGUAACCAUCAGAUAUGGAAUUUGUCAGACUGUCUUCCUGAUGUUCUGGACUAGAGCAGGCCUCCCUCGCUGCUCCCAAAGUCCUUGGCAUAUCUUCCUUCCACUCAGGAAGCACUUGGAGAUUACCUGGCUUGUUUGUUUCCUGUUUUUUCUGGCCAGACUAUGUCUGUCUCCUGACCUGCUAUUUCCCUGGGGUCUAUAAUUGUGGAAGACAUUAAGAACAUUUGAUGAAUGAAUA
Molecule: non-coding RNA, 4321 nt
Organism: Heterocephalus glaber (naked mole-rat)
Lineage: Eukaryota; Metazoa; Chordata; Mammalia; Rodentia; Bathyergidae
Source: RefSeq, a predicted model, not a curated record